This is a long non-coding RNA of Ceratitis capitata (Mediterranean fruit fly), 468 nucleotides long. RefSeq lists it as uncharacterized. NCBI's taxonomy places the organism in Eukaryota, Metazoa, Arthropoda, Insecta, Diptera, Tephritidae. The transcript is spliced from 3 exons. The record is from RefSeq and is a predicted model, not a curated record.
CUACCAAGCUAAGCUUUCAAAGGAAAAUUCACUUACUCUACAUCAAACAUAAUUUACCAUUUUACUCCCACUGAGUACAGGAUAAAAGUUUUCAAGAUUUUUGAUUGUAAUGAAUCGGUUUCACACUCAUGCAAAUUUACCAACAAAAUUUAUUUGAAAAUACUCAGUAGCUCAUUUUGCUACCACAAAAAUAUGUAAUAUAAAGGAAUUUUUGACAACAAUGGAAUUUCCUUAUGAGAAAUAAAAAUAUAAAAAAAAAACAAAUAUAAAGAGAAUAGGUGUGUGCGUGUGUGUGUGUACGAGCAUAAUAGCAAAAGUGCUGGCACAGGGAGACUUUCAAGUUUAAGACUCAAAAGAUGUGGGAGCUGGUUUUGGAAUAUUCCGUACUGAUAUAUGCGGUUCACACUCAAACGAUGCCAUCGACAAUGUGUUCUCAUUUAAAACACUGCUAGUCUGCAGAUAUGCAAU